RNAcentral lists this ribosomal RNA (476 nucleotides) under uncultured bacterium. RNAcentral describes it as "bacterial SSU rRNA". It matches the Rfam family "Bacterial small subunit ribosomal RNA", at positions 28 to 507 of the family's 1533-position model. The record is from RNAcentral.
GAUGAACGCUAGCUACAGGCUUAACACAUGCAAGUCGAGGGGCAGCAUGAGACGGAGAUUCGUCGAAGUCUUGAUGGCGACCGGCGCAAGGGUGCGUAACGCGUGAGCAACUUGCCCGUUUCUGGGGAAUAACCGGUGGAAACGCCGACUAAUACCCCAUAGUAUCAGAUUUAGGCAUCUUUAUCUGAUUAAAGAAUUUCGGAAACGGAUAGGCUCGCGUGACAUUAGCUAGAUGGCGGGGUAACGGCCCACCAUGGCGACGAUGUCUAGGGGUUCUGAGAGGAAGGUCCCCCACACUGGAACUGAGACACGGUCCAGACUCCUACGGGAGGCAGCAGUGGGGAAUAUUGGGCAAUGGGGGAAACCCUGACCCAGCAACGCCGCGUGAAGGAAGAAGGCCUUCGGGUUGUAAACUUCUUUUAGCAGGGACGAAAACAAUGACGGUACCUGCAGAAAAAGCAACGGCUAACUACGUG